Cyprinus carpio (common carp) is the source of this 902-nucleotide long non-coding RNA. RefSeq lists it as uncharacterized. The record is from RefSeq and is a predicted model, not a curated record. NCBI's taxonomy places the organism in Eukaryota, Metazoa, Chordata, Actinopteri, Cypriniformes, Cyprinidae. The transcript is spliced from 2 exons.
UUUUUUGUUUUAAAAAAUAGAGCAUAUAUAUUACUUUAAAAAAGAAUUAUCUGUACUUGUUUUUUUUUCUACAAAACAUUUUUUUUUUUUUAUUCCUGCAGUUAACUUUUUAUCAAACGCUGUGGCAUGCACAUUGCACAUGCAAUUUUUGAGCCACACACACAUCAAGAAGUUGAGAGAACAUCCUGCAUGCAAAUGAGGAAAACUGAAAAUAAUUCACAUGGUGAAUUUUGUCAAACACAUCAUCAUGGACCUGAUCACAUAAAUAUACACACACCAUUCACAAACAUAGACACAUCAUUUCCUUGACGCUUCUUGCAACUCAAAACAGGGUUGUAUUGCAUAUAUAGAUACUCUCAUUAUAAAAACGUAAGCCUUGUGAAGUUAAAUGCCUGCUGCGGAUAAAAGAAAACUGCAAACUGACACAUUGCAGCUGUAUAAAUGUGUAAAAGUGGGAUGUGUGGUCUAAAUAACAGUGAAUAAGGCACUGAUUAAUCUCAGUAAUGCAUUCCUAAGAAUGUAGUUCUCAAAGAAACAAUGACAACAAAAUCUAAUAAUGCGCAACUAGCAAGGGGAGACAUGAAACUCGGAUCCUGUAUCUAGUGUUUACAUCCUCAAGGACAAUAUACUCACCAGUUGUGGACACACUUAAACAUACAGUCUCAAAGGAGAGCCACAAACUUACCAGUUUCAUCAGUAAUGCUACAUACAGGACACUCAAGUGGGAUUGUGUGUGAUAAUAUGUUAUUAAAUGCUACACACAUUGUCUAAUUUGCACAUGCUGCAAAUUUGGACUCGUUCGGCAGCAGUCUGUGUAUGCAGAGUCAUUCCACAGACUGAGAUGACGAUGGUAAUAUGGGCCGAAAAGACACAAAGAUCAGUGGGACACAAGAGACAAGUUU